UAAAAUUCAAUUGUAACUGCCCAACCAACCAGUUCUUUUUUUUUCUCUCAGAUGCUUUAUCACUGUAGGUGAAACCAACGCCAAACUUUUUAUCAUUGCGACUGUCCACCCAGCACCCACACUUGCACGUGCCCAUGCAUAUAGAAAUGCUCAUAUUAACUGGAAAAGGGAGAAGAAAGAAAAGGAAAACUGGUGCAUGACGGGGUAUUCAAUUUGAACUCUCCCAAGUAUGAUUAAAGUUGCAUUCGGUCUGGUGCCACUUAAUGAGAUUUACUUCACAAUGAUUGUGAUCUAUGCCAUAAAUUUCAGUCUUCAGCUCAUCUUCAUUUCAAUCUUUUGCCAUUGCAAUAGCAAAAUUGAUGGAUCUCCUCUUUAGUUCAUGUUAUGGUAAACUAACAAACACCAUCUUAUUAAUUAAAUCUGCAACAUCCCUGUGUAUCAGUUCCAGCCUUAGCCUCAACCAUCUAAGUUCUAUGGUCUAAACUCACAAACACCUCUUUGGCUCCCAUUAGUUUU
Molecule: long non-coding RNA, 516 nt
Filed under: Phoenix dactylifera (date palm)
Lineage: Eukaryota; Viridiplantae; Streptophyta; Magnoliopsida; Arecales; Arecaceae
Description: long non-coding RNA (PDAC_LNC022561)
Source: RNAcentral